RNAcentral lists this ribosomal RNA (305 nucleotides) under uncultured bacterium. RNAcentral's name for it is "bacterial SSU rRNA". It matches the Rfam family "Bacterial small subunit ribosomal RNA", at positions 335 to 658 of the family's 1533-position model. The record is from RNAcentral.
AAUCCUACGGGAGGCAGCAGUGGGGAAUAUUGCACAAUGGGGGAAACCCUGAUGCAGCGACGCCGCGUGAAGGAUGAAGUAUUUCGGUAUGUAAACUUCUAUCAGCAGGGAAGAAAAUGACGGUACCUGACUAAGAAGCCCCGGCUAACUACGUGCCAGCAGCCGCGGUAAUACGUAGGGGGCAAGCGUUAUCCGGAUUUACUGGGUGUAAGGGAGCGUAGACGGCAUGGCAAGUCUGAUGUGAAAACCCGGGGCUCAACUCCGGGAGUGCAUUUGAAACUGUCCAGCUAGAGUGCAGGAGAGGG